AUUGAACGCUGGCGGCAUGCUUUACACAUGCAAGUCGAACGGCAGCGCGGGCUUCGGCCUGGCGGCGAGUGGCGAACGGGUGAGUAAUACAUCGGAACGUGCCCAGUAGUGGGGGAUAGCUCGGCGAAAGCCGGAUUAAUACCGCAUACGACCUGCGGGUGAAAGCGGGGGAUCUUCGGACCUCGCGCUAUUGGAGCGGCCGAUGGCAGAUUAGCUAGUUGGUGGGGUAAAGGCCUACCAAGGCGACGAUCUGUAGCUGGUCUGAGAGGACGACCAGCCACACUGGGACUGAGCCACGGCCCAGACUCCUACGGGAGGCAGCAGUGGGGAAUUUUGGACAAUGGGCGAAAGCCUGAUCCAGCAAUGCCGCGUGUGUGAUGAAGGCCUUCGGGUUGUAAAGCACUUUUGGCGGGAACGAAAAGGACUGUGCCAAUACCACGGUUCGAUGACGGUACCCGCAGAAUAAGCACCGGCUAACUACGUG
This 484-nucleotide ribosomal RNA is filed under the name uncultured bacterium. Its description in RNAcentral is "partial 16S ribosomal RNA". It matches the Rfam family "Bacterial small subunit ribosomal RNA", at positions 29 to 507 of the family's 1533-position model. The record is from RNAcentral.